AGUGUGACAGUGAGGAGUGCAGACUUUCAGAUGCAAUGAGUGUUUCUUCUCGUUGUUCUGUGCUCCUGUCCUGCACCAUAAGAGCAUGUCCCAGGUCAUCAUGUUCUUUUGACCAGGCUCCUGGAAUGAGAGACGCUUGGAGCUGACCUGAACUGGACCUCUAGAAGCAGAGAUGCUGAGAACAUCUGCAGAUACAUGAUGGAUUGAGCAGUCCCUGAGUCAUAUACUCUACCAGAGAAUGAAUGAUGUCUGGUAAAUAAGAUGAUGAAUCUGACACAUAAAAGUACUGAGGGCCCAGUCAAGGCAAUAUCACUGGCUGUGAAAUGCUGAAGAGAAUCAGUUGAAAGAGAAAGAAGAAUGAAUUGGAAAAGCAAAUACUUCUGUGUUCUACUGUCAAAUGUGAUGCAUUCAAAUAAGGGAUGUUAUGACAGAAAAAACAAAUCUUCCUCAACUUGUCCACAUCAGUUCCAUUCCCUCAUUUAUAGGGAAGCUUGAGGAAUGUUUAGUGAAAUGCUGGCAAAUAGACUUCAAGAGAAAGUCUAAUUAGUAAUGUUUUUUCUUCUAAGGUAAGUAGAGAAAAAAAGGUAAUUAUGGAAACCCCAAGUUUCGUUCUCAAAUUUAAGCCCAACUUAAAUAUAGUUUAAGGUCUUUCUUCCUUUAAACUCACCACUCUUACUGCUUUUUGAUUUUGUGGUGGUUCAUCCAUAUUAAUGUACCUAAUGACAGGCACUCUGAAAAGGUGAGAAUGAAUUCUUUUCCUUUGACAUAUCAGCUGAGGAUGAUGUUACAAAGCAUGUCUUUCAAUGUGUAUCUGCAUGGACUCCGGGUCUGAGAGAAUGAUAUAUACUUCUACUUUAUGCCUGCAAGAUUCAAAAGGCCUUUUCAAAUAUUCAUGUCUUUUUCUUUUUCCUUUUUAUUCUCUGCUGGUAUGUGUUAUGUGAUGAGAAGAAUGUCAGAGUCUCUGGAGUCUUAUUUUUAAGUUUUAGGCUUGCCUGAGGGGGGAAAUAUAUUGGAAAUUUGCUGGUCAAGCUGUUCACAUUUUCUCAUAACAUGUCUAAUAAUUGCAAUGCAGUUUGUUCAAAUAAUUUAGUCAGGAUUUGCAUACUUAGCAUGAUUGACUCUGAAGUGAGUUAUUGGGCAGUGCCUGGCAUUCAAUCAGUAACACCUGAGGAGAACAUUGCCUUUGUGUUGCAACCAAGAAGAAGUUAAAAAAGGCACAGAGAUGAGGGAUCUUUUUUUUAUAAGGGGAAUUCUGAUCAUUCUUCUCUGAUCUUGUUUUCAACUUGUGUCUUAAUUUCUUCAUAUUUGAUGCCUCAAGUUAAUAGGAUUUGUAUUGCCAUAGGCACUAUUGCCAUUUCAUAUGCUGUAUUAGGGAAGCGGAGUUGCUGAUUAGAAAAGUGAUAAUGCAACUUCCUCUUCUUUCUAAAUUAACCUUGGAGUGGAAGGGAAAUGCAUUCAUGAUUUUGUUAUUAUACUCACUAGUAUUGGCGGUUGUUUGUCCUUUUUAUUUUCUGUGGUUUUGAAAACUUAACAUAUACAUCCAUGGAGUAUAUUACUUAGUGUCUUUUUCUUCCAUCACAUUUCUGGACUAACUUUUGAAAAAAUAUUUUGCUUUUAAUUUUCAUCAGCUUCUGAGGCUCAUCUAUCUCCAAAUCAACCAGGAAAAAAAAGUAGAAGAAAAUCACCAGCUGUUGGGAAAGUUAUUUAGAGGAUGUUAGCCAGAUUAAUCUUUACAUAAUAAUUAUGAAUUAGUAACGUUUCUCCUCCAUAAAAUCCACAUAUUUAGUGAGCUUCAGAGAACAUAGAAGAGGCAAGAGAAAAUGACAGUGAAGUGAUGUAUUAGCCAUGGCUCUCUAGAGGGACAAGACUAAUAAGAUAGACAUAUAUAUGAAAGGGAGUUUAUUAAGGAGUAUUGACUGACACAGUCACAAGGUGAAGUCCCACAAUAGGCCGUCUGCCAUCUGAGGACCAAGGAAGCCAGCCCAAGUCCCCAAACCUCAAAAGUAGGAAAACCAACAGUGCAGCCUUCAGCCUGUGGCCAAAGGCCCGGGAGACCCUGGUAAACCACUGUAUAGGUCCAAGAGUCCAAAAGCUGAAGAACCUGGAGUCCGAUAUUCAAGGGCAGGAAGCAUCCAGCAUGGGAGAAAGAUGAAGGCCGGAAGACUCAGCCAGUCUAGUCCUUCCACGUUCUGUCUGCUUUAUUCUAGCUAUUCUGGCAGCUGAUUAGAGAUCGUGCCCACCCAGUUUGAGGGUGGGUCUGCCUCUCCCAGUCCACUGACUCAAAUGUUAAUCUCCUUUGGCAACACCCUCAAAGACACACCCAGGGACAAUACUUUGCAUUCUUCAAUCCAAUUAAGUUGACAGUAUUAACCAUCACAAGUGCUUCAUCAUGUUAUAAUAAAACAGAAUUAUGGCUUCAAGGACCCGCAGUCUUUAAAACUACCCACACAAAAGAUAAAAGGGAACUAAAAUUAUAAUUUCCCAAGGAUUAACAGUAUAAGCUUCAUUCUAAGUGAAUUAAAUAAUUUGUCAAUUUCCUCUUCAUACUGAAAGUAACCAUACUAGGAUAUAACAUGUGUUGGAAAAGUGAUUACAAAUGACUCAAAUCAGUGCCCUAAAAUUUCAAACAAAUUCCCACUAUUGAUACAUAAGGAAUCCACAUUGGGAUUAGCAGUAUUAUUCACUUAUGCAAAAAUAUCUUUUGACAUGAGGUGAAAACAUAACCUCUGAACACAGUCAUUCUUUUAGGUUUUCAGUGGGAAUUGUGCCUAAGUGAUUAGGAAAGGAUAUGGUCCAAUAAAUAAACUGAAAAUUUUGUAACAAGUGGUAGAGUAAUACAUAUUAAUUCUGAACAGAUUGACACUGUAAUUUGGGAUAAAAACCAUAAUGAUUACAGAACACAGUCAGUGUAAGUCUGAUGGACUAGAACAGAUGUGUCCACCUGUUUAGGGUCCAGCUCUGCUUCACUUGGGCUGCAUAACACUAGCUAUUUGGAAAGGCAUACAGGUUAGGAAACAGAAAAUAUAUUGGAUUCUGGAUCAAUUUUUGUUCUUCUAUGUAACAAUUAACGUCAAAAAGACAGAGCACACCAAAGGCUAAAAUAAAAGAAAGUCUAGAGGAGAUGUAAACAUUAUUACAUGCCUUUCAUUGGAGAUAAUUUGGAAACCUUCAUAAAGAGAUUUUCAAGGUCAGGAGUGUGUAAUAGAUUCAAACUGUUUUUGUUUUUCUAACAUCAACAAAUCUUGUAUAAAUUAACUCAAUCGGAGUUUUUUUAAAAUGCUAAACUGAAGAAAGAUGGAAAGAGACUCCAAUAUUAUAAUGUUCAUGCCUAGGGGCACUCCAUAUAUCCAAUACCAAGUAAGACUAGGCUUUUGUGAAUAUUUAUCACUUGAAAUCAUGGGGAAAAUACUUUUUUCUUGACAGAAUAUGCCCCAGGUUUAAAGAUUAUACUGUACAUCAUUAAGGGGUAAUUUUAUUUUUUCUUAAGGUAGAAGGAGAUAUCAGUACUAUAAUAAUAAAUCUGCCUCUUUGUUAUAAGAAAAGUUUAAUGUGUGGUCAUAAACAUUGUUUGUUUUAAAGACAGAUUGUUAUAGAUGUAUUAUUAAAAAUAUCCAUCCUGUCUGUACUCUUUAUACUUUCUUACUUAAAUUUAUUAACAAAAUUGGGUAUAUGUGUGCCAUUCUUUCUCUGUUGUCUCUGCCAUCCUCUGGAUAUUUAGCCAAUCCUUAACCUAAAAAGCCUUUGUCAUUAUAAGGGUAAAACAUCAUUUUGUUAUAUCUUAAUAUAGAGAAACCAGUCUUCUAGCUCAUUUAUAAUCUUCAAAUGUGUUUGUUGGAGAUGUUUUGUAUUCGUUAAUUUAUUUGAUUUUUUGUAUAAUAAUUUCCCUCCAAAUAAGGUUUUCAAAUUUCAUAAUGAGAAGAACACAGGUUAGUUUAGAGUACUGUAGAUAUAUUCUUGUCAAAGAUAUCAACUGGGUAAAAUGCUAUCGGAAACAUCCAAGAAGUUUAAAAAGUUU
Homo sapiens (human) is the source of this 4015-nucleotide long non-coding RNA. RefSeq annotates it as long independently transcribed non-coding RNA 2300. NCBI's taxonomy places the organism in Eukaryota, Metazoa, Chordata, Mammalia, Primates, Hominidae. The record is from RefSeq and is a predicted model, not a curated record. The transcript has 3 exons.